AUUUAGGUUGAAACCCUUAGUUGAAAAUUUGGGGGGUUGCAAAAUCUCUAAGAGGUAAAAGCCAGAAGACGCUCUAUUGGUGGUCGACGUCGCGAGAUUUUGAUAGCGAUGCUUUUACUGAUAGGUCGUUGUCCUGUUUUACUGCCACGAGACAGGUAACACUCUGUUUAAGUUAUUUUUCAAUUAUUUCUCCUUUAUCUCCCCAUUCUGUAGUCAUUCAGUUUCUUUCAUUGAUGUGGUAUGCUGGGCUGCCUGCUGUAGAGGUCUUAAGGACCAUGAGUUGCUGAUGUGGAUGAAGGAGUUGAGUGUGUUGUGGUGUUAAGAUUAAUCUAUGUUCGGUUUUGAUUUUUGUCAUUCUUCUACUUUGAUGUCAUGGUCCGUCGUUCAUUCUUGGGGUUACUGAAUAAUUUUCGGACUAUGUUCCACUUAGUGUAUUGCUUGAGGUGAGAAGGGCUGGAUUAUUAAGCUAAGUCCGUUGCUUUUGAUUGUAUUCAGUAGUUUAAUAGGGGGAUGUUUGGCUCGUAGUUAUUAUUUGAUUGUAUAUGUCUGGUGUUAUUACCGGAUUAUGGCACGAUUGUCGAUGCUAGCGGCGUUGCUAGUAGAGCUACCUCUCAAGUUCCUUUGGCUUCUCAUGUGCCAAAAGGACAAUGAUUAAGGUCCAAGAUAUGGUAAAAAAAUCUUAGGAUUCCUCGACGACUACCUUAUUUGAGUGAGCGAGGAGGAGGAUUGAAACAAUCUGUUGUUUUGAUCAUUGUUACUAUUUGUUGUUAUUGUAACUGUUGAGCCAUAGUGUCAUUAGUGGAACUACCUCUUGAGUUCUUUGGUUUCUCAAAGGACGAGGAACAACGAAGAUAAGUCCGCUAAAAAGCAGAAAAUCCUGUGAUUCCUCGGUGAUCAUCUUGGCUACCAAAAGCUAUCCUUUUGGGUUUGCCGAAGAGAGAGUGAGGAUGAGGAUAGUGGACUUUGUCAUAUUUUUCUUUGGUUUUGUGAUUUAUGUCUUUCGUUUUGUUUUGAAUCCCAAAUUUAGAUUCCCGCUCUUCCUUUAGGUUCAUUUUCAGCAUGAAAACACAUUAGAAGGAUAACAUCGUCGUAUUUCAGGAUGCUAGGCAUUUGAGUAUGUUUUUUCAGAAAUUCAUCUUAAUUUUGUUGUCAUUGUACUGUGUAUAGUCUAUACUCAGGCUAAGGAUUCCCAAGGAUCUUUCUCUGUCAACAAUAAUCAAGAAAGUAGGGAUGAAGUUGCAUUCAUUUUACUCUCAACAUGGGAUUAGAGAUGGGACAACGCAUCACAAUUGCUUGUCUCUAUCCUCAAAUACCUGCUGCCAGAACUUAAUACUGCAGGUUAUUUAAGCACUCUUCCAGAUUCAAAUAUUAUUUGUCUCGUGGUCAAGUGCAAUUAAUAUGUUGUCAUUGUCGAGGUUAUUGUUUUGAGUGACUGAAAAAGUUCAAAACUUGAAAGGAAAUUCGUUCCUUCGAAAGGGGUUGCUUUAUAGCUAUUACUACGACUCAUGAGUCAAACAUUGAGCACCUCGCUCGUUCUCCAGGCUACUGUUAUGUGCCUUAUGUUUUUAGCUUUCUUGAUGUUUACUUUCUUGAUAAAAUUGGACAACAUGUAAGCUUUAUGGAUUAACGUCUCGGUGAGUAUUCAAAACCUCAUCCGUAUUCUGGCCAUGCGUCUAGCUUGAUAGAAUCUUGAAUUAGCUUUCUUUUACUGAUAUUAUUGAAUAUGAAGCACAUGUCAUUCUGAUCAUGAAUAUCUUUCAAAUAAACUUACAGUAUGUCAUGCGUUACUCACGUUAUCACUCAUCAUACGCUUUUGGGUAUCAAACAUGUCAUUUAUACCUGAGUGCAAAUAAGUUUACAUCAAGACAUAUUUGCUUAGCAUGCUGUUUGACUAUAUGGAUGCACCCUCCUUCUUUCUUAUGAUCCUUUUCUACAUCUUUACUUUUUCAGUGACAGAGUAUAAGUUAGUUCGCCCGAUAUGCUUUCUUUCCUUCAAAUGGUCGUAUGCUACGUGUCUUACUUACUUCCUUGAUUUGAUUUUCGUGUUUACAUUCUUCAAUUCCCUUUCCUUUUUCUUGUUUAGUUGAUCACGUCUUAACAUUCUUUAUUUUUCUUGUCUUGCAUGAAUCCACUUUGGAGUCCAAAUGGACUCUUUCUCUUUGCAUCCCUCAUUGGAUCAAUGAGGCCCAUUUCAUUGAUUCAAGUCUGAAGGCCUAAGUUCUAAAAAGUAAUCAUGAGGUGUACAAAUACAAAGAUUCAAGAGAAGAAGAAUGGGCUAAAAUCCCUUCUUUGAAGCGGCAAAGAAACUAGAAAGUCUCUUUUUAUUUAUUUAUUUAUAUUCUUUAUUUGUUUUCUUUAUCUAUUUUAUUUAUUUAUUUAUUUAUUUAUUUAUUUAUUUUCUUAUUCAUUCAUUUGGGCCACGAAGUCAAAGUUGUAUUUAAUAUAGGUGGAUCGAGACUCGAGCUAAAGACUUGAAAACAUAGAAUUAGGACAGGUGAAAAUGGAUCGAAAACCCAACUAGAUUAGGACAGGGUUGACGGUUUAGGCUCAAAAAGCCUAAAUCACUACUUCCCCGCUUUUCCCCCUUUUCCUUUCAUUUAUUUGUUUGCUUGUGUCUUUGUGAACCUAGUUAAAUCACUAACUAAGUCGCUAAAAAACUGAUUUCGUGAAAACUUUUUCCUUAAUCAAUUACUUUUUCAACAAAUUAAUUUUCCGAAGGUAAUCAAAAGAAUGUUUUCAAACAAUAUGGAUAACCGCAAGUUAGCGGACGUUUUAGGUGCCUAACACCCUCCUAAAACGUUAAUAUGAGCCACUUACUCGGAAUCUCUAACUUAAAUCGAUUUUCCUGUUUUGAAUCGUUUUAAGUUACUCUUUAAAGUUUUCUUAAUUCCUUUUCAAAAUUAAGUGGCGACUCUUCAAAAGUCAAAAUUUCUUCGCAAACACAUAUACAGGCGUCUUAGGCAUAAAUCGAUGGGACUUGAACCCAACAUAUUAUCAUCUCUUUUGAUAAUAUUGUUCUUGAGAAAUAAAUUCAAAAUAUAAAUGGUUCCAAACCAAUUAUUUUUCCUCAAAUCCAACAAUAAUUAUAUUAUUAGUAGCAAAAGACAGAUAAUAUAAGGAAUUACUAACCUUGAAAUAAUCUUUAGAUUUAUAAUCUCACCUUAUUUGGCAGAAUCUCGUGUUGAUAAUCUAAAUUAGUUAGAGACUCAAAAACUUGUGUAGCCACGUACGAUCAGAUCUCAAUUGGUAAGAGAUGUCAUACUGAUAACGUGUUAUAAAACAAGAUAAAAUAAAGAAGAAGAGUAAAGAGAGUAAUUCUUGUUUCUUCUCUUAAGGGGAUGAAAGAUCAUCUUGAUUGUAAAUACAAUGAACAAAACCCCUCUAUUUAUAGGGAAAAUUUACUCCUAGUCUGAGUAAAAGACGGAUGCUUCAAAUCCUAAUAGAUAUUAAAGUAGAUCUUGAUAGAUAUUCACUAUAAUGUAAAUACAUUUAUAACACUAUCUUAUUUUUUUUCUUCAUAUUUUACGCUUAACAUUUUCUACUAUUUCACAAGAUUCUUUUAAAUACUAAUAGUCAUAGGUAUUCUAAUAAAAUAUGCAAUUCAUAUAUUAUUAUCUUAAAGAAAGUAUAAAGCUAUUAGUAUCAACAAGAAAAAGUGAACAGAUCAACCUGUUGAAUAUACAAGUAAAUCAAAGUAAUAUUCAUAGAGCUAGGCAGCAAAAUAUAUAUAUAUAUANNNNNNNNNNNNNNNNNNNNNNNNNNNNNNNNNNNNNNNNNNNNNNNNNUAUUUAUUUAUUUAUUUAUAUCAUACUUAUUUUAAAUGUAAAAUGCCACCUAAUUGAAAGUUGCAAGAUCAAAUUACCCUUCACUAUUAUAAAAAUAAUUUAUUACUAUAUAUUAGUUUGUAGUUAAAGAGUAAUUAAUUGGAAUUUAAUUAAAUACUAAAUUAUUGCCACAGGUAAUCGAUUUAAAUCAUUGAUCACAACCUAAGACUUUCUCAUUUCUAACUUUAAAGUCUUGUCCUUUGAAAUUUCACCAUUUCUCUAUGCCAAAAUUUUGAGAGGACAUAGUGGACAAAGGUACCUAAAGUUUCCUCCUUUUACAUGUCAAAUUAUCAAAGACAAGUUAAACUUGAUUUGAGAAUUUUUUGAGUAAGGUAAAAGAUAUAGUUGGCUUUCAUUUUUUAUCGAGUAAAGCAUUUAGUGUCUUUUGAAUUAUGACUACCUUAUGUGAUGUGAAACAAGAAAAUCGAAGAAAGAUAGGAAUUAAAGGUAGAAAAUAAAGAAAGAUACAUUUAGAUUCAAACAAUCAAAAGAUAUAAUGGUGAAACUAACCAAAACAGAAAACACUCCUUAAUUGGGAACUAAAAACACCUAAUUUAUUAGAAUCUUCAAGAAAGUAGUAACUUUACUUGCAAAUCUUAGGACAAGUGUUAAAAAUCAACUAAGGAUUUUCAAGCUCUCUAAGAAGGCACAAAUUUUUAAUCUUCCAAAACUAGUGGUUCACCCUAAUAGCUAACUAUUUAUACUAAGGGUUAAAAGAAGUAAGGAAAAAUCAAACUGCGCUUUAUUUAAAUUACAAGUUAAUUUAAAUGGUAGACACACUUAGUAUAUUAAAUAUCUUCAAGUCAUUCAUAUUGGAGUCUUCCAAAGAUUCUAUCUUCAUCCAUAAAGCUUGAAAUGCUUGAAGGUCCUUAGCUUGACUUCUUGUGAAAGGCCUUCUUGGAGUAGCGUCAGUUUUAUGUACAUCACUCUCCUCUUCUUCGAAAGAAUUCGUCCUCGAAUUCGCCAAUUGUUGACACCCAAUUUUGGCUCUCCUUUUCAUAUAAUUAAUUUUUCUAUACUUCUUGGUCCCGAAUACUUUAUCAAAAUAACAUUUUCUAUUCUUCAUAUUAAUUUUUGUAAUGUUGACAUAAACGGAAUAAUUUUUCUUUUGCAUUUUUUUAAUCUUAUAUAUAUAUAUUGUACAAACGAUAUAUGUAUAUCGCAAUAAAUAUUUAAAUAUUAGUUUGUUAACUUUUACUUUAAAUUCUAAAUGAAUUUUAUCGUAUUGUUAUAAUAUUUUCUAAAUAUAGUUAUAUUUGUUUAAAUUUAUAUGUGUAUGCAUAUAACCGGUACAUUAUGAAAAUUAAUUAGGACGAGAGAAGCAUUGUUAAAUUAAUUAAGUGAAAGUGACUUGAGGACAUUAGAUUUUUUCCAAACAUAAUUCACUUAUUCACAAUAUUUGGGCCAUUUGCUCUAUUUUGUCAGCCAAAGUAGUAGCCCAACAAGAAAAUAACUCCUAGUCUAAUUUAAAAUAUCAUAACUUGGCCCAAUUUCAACCCACCAGUCUGCCCAGCUAGCCCAGAUCCGGUCCAAUUCCAUAUCUCUUUUCCCUUUCCCGAUAAACAUACCAAAAACAACAUCAAAGUACAACAAAACAAGCAACAACAACAACAAUAUCAAUAUCAACUGUUAUGGUCCAUUGCAAAGUCCCACAUCGGUACUACAAGGUAUUGUUGUGGGGUAUGUAUAGCCUUGGGAUCUCUCCCACCUUAACAUCUACCUUUUGGGGUACGGUUCUCCUAAGGUUAUAACAGUGGUAUCAGAGUCACCCAUCAGCCUUUGCGCUCACUGUGCCUGGGAUGGUGACAUCAGUAUGGUAGUGUUCGGCCGGGGCUAGAAAUGUUUAGCUCACAACCAUCGAGGCACCUGGGUACCUGACUCAAAAAGGGAAACCUGGGAAAGAGCUACCUACAUAAGUAGAGUGAAAGCUACCCACUUGACGGAUGCUGAUCGUGGUGGUUUGUUAUGAUCCAUUGCAACUCGGCGGAUGCAGAUCAUGGUGGUUUGUUAUGAUCCACUGUAAAGUUCCACUUCGGUACUACAAAGUAUUGUUGUGAGCUAUUUAUAGCCUUGGGCUCUCUCCUUCCUUAAGAUCUAGCUUUUGGGAUGCGGUUCUCCUAAGGUUGUAACAUCAAUGCUCAAACCAACGGAUAAUGGAAUAUCCGGUGGACUUUAGCCUUCUCCUCAUACUUUCCAUCAGUCUUGCAAUUCCUCCAUCAACUUUAUAUCAUAUAGACAGCUUUUCCUGAUCAAAUCAUCCCCUAAAAUACUCCAUAUAUGUUGCUCCUAAAAAGGUGUGGAAUAAGAAGGAUCACCGGAUUUGGAAUUGCUUUUCGCUUAAUCUAACGGGUCGAAACGACUUUUCCAAGAAUUCAAAAUUUGAAUUCUUGGGGCAUGAGAUGAGAACUGUUGCAAUCCCCUCAAAUUUUACUAUAAAAUGAGCCAUUGGGUUCCUAUUUUGAUUAGCAAAAACAAUAAAGAAUUAGAUUUUAUCAAAAUAGCAAAAUCCAUCAACAAAUUCAUAUUACUAUAAUACUUCGUAUUCUUUUUAUCUCUCUUUUCGAAAUCAAAGUCCGAGUUCGAGUUUGUAUCUUCGACGGAAAGCUUCAGUUCGCUGCUCUACACGAGGUAAAUUCUAUCCCAUCUAGUAAAAUUGUAUUUAGUUUUACAAUUCUUUUAUAGUUUGGGUUUGGUCGAUUGAUUGUGGAUAUAAAUAAGAAGUGAAUGGUGUGUGGCCACUAAGAGUUUGUUCAUGUUAGGCAGUGUGUUUGUAAAGUGUUCAUAAUUUGUAAUAUAGCUUGAAUAAAACCUAUAAAGUUUGAGUUUUUCAAAUGAAUUGGGUGCUUUGUUUCUAUGACAAUUAAAAAUUCAAGGAUCUCUAUUAAUGGUGGAUGAGAGAGAGAAGAGCUUGACAGAGAAAGAAAGAAAGAUAACAUGUAACUGCUUAAUUGAAUUACUAAGACUGUAUGUCAAUUUAUACAACAUGUCUAGGAAAGAUCUAGAAGCUCAGCUAACAUCACUACUAACAACUUCUAACUGAUCUAACUUCUUGAGUUAACUACUUGAGUCAGGUAACUGACUCUUAUUUAUUAAUACAUGCUAAUUAAUUUAAUACCCCCCUCAAGUUGAAAGUGGAGAUUUCACAGACAACUUGCUAAGUACAGUAGCAUGUUUGACUCCGGAAAGGGAUUUGGUAAGAAUAUCAGCUAGUUGACUGUUAGUGUCAAUGUGAUGCAGAUUGAUCAGACCUUCUUGUAGUUUAUCUCACAUAAAAUGACAGGCAACCUCGAUAUGUUUAGUACGCUCGUGAAAAACUGGAUUCCUUGCAAUGUGUAAAGCUGAUUGGCUAUCACAAAAGACUGCAAUAGGAGUAGUGUUUGGAAUUGAUAAUUCCGUGAAUAGCCCAUGCAACUAUGUUAACUCACCAACAACUUUCCUCAGGGACCUGUACUCAGCCUCAAAUGAAGAUAAAGAAACUGUUUCUUGCUUCUUCGAUUUCCAACUAAUAGGUGUGUCCCCUAACAAAACUAAAUAUCUACUAACCGACCUUCUAGACGCUGGGCAUGUAGCCCAAUCAGAUUCGCAAUAAGCCUGAACAGUAUAGUUAGGAUGGUUGGACAUAAAUAUGCCAAAAGUUAGAUUCUGUUUGAGAUAUCUCAGUAAAUGUAGAGCUGCCUGCAGGUGAAGCUCUCUUGGAUCCUACAUGUACUGACUUAGGUGCUGCAUGCUAAAGGCAAUAUCAAGUCUGGUGUUGGUGAGAAAAUUGAGUUUUCCAACUAGCUUUCUAUAGUAAGUAGGAUUAAUUAGUGGUGUACCUUCCUUGGCUUUCAAUUUGAUGUGAGGGUCAAGUGGUGAAACUACACUGAUAAAGUCAAAAUAGUCAUAUUCCUUCAACAUAUCCAAAAAAACCUUUCUCUGAGAAAUUAUAGCUCCUUCAUUUGUAUAUUGGAUUUCCAUGCCCAAAAAAUAAUGUAAUUUGCCAAGGUCUUUGAUCUUGAAUCUGUCAUGAAGAAAAUUUUUCAACUCAUUGAUCUCCUGAUGAUCCGUCCCUGUGAGAAUAAUAUCAUCUACAUAAACAACAAUGAACACCAUCAAGGAACCAUGUUUUCUGUAGAAGAUAGAAUAAUCAUGCAAGGAAUACUGAUAACCUCUAGAAGACAGUACUUCAGUUAGCUUUGUAUACCACUGCCUACUGGCUUGUUUUAAACCAUACAAAGAUUUGUUCAGUUUGUAAGCCAACCCCACAUCAUCAACUUCAAGACUAGGAGGUAUUUCCAUAUACACUUCUUCAUGUAAAUCACUAUGAAGAAAGGCAUUGUUGACAUACAGUUGGGACAACAUCCAAUUUUUCUUUACUGCUACAGCAAUUAGGGAUCUUACUGUGGUCAUUUUUACCAUAUGAGAGUAAGUUUUAGUAUAGUCAAUCCAGCUUGUUGUGUGUAUCCCUUGACUACUAACCUAGCUUUGAACCUUUCUAUGCUCCCAUCAGCUUUAUGUUUCACCUUAUAUACCCAUCUACAUCUAAUAGUUUUCUUACUAGGUGGAAGAGGGACUAAAUCCCAUGUGUUAUUAGCAUAAAGAGCCUCAAACUCUUGGUUCAUAGCAGUCUGCUAUGCAGGAUUAAGUGCAUAUUCAUCAUAAGAAGGUGGUUCAUUAUCAUGACAAAUAUUACAAAUAAGGAACUGACUGUCAUGUAUUAAAGAUUCAGGAGAAAUGGAGUGGUGUUGAGAAAAAAGGGCAUUGAGAAAAAAGGUAGAAGAUGUAUCACGUGGUUCAACAUCAGGAGUAGAUUUGAGGGAUGGUAAGGAACAUAUAUAAUAUUGAAUAUGAGCAGGUGUCUUAGGAGUUUUGGUUGACCUUCUGUGUCCAGGUGGAUGAACAGGUACAUUUAAUGGUGCAAAAUUUUGAUUGUUAGAGGGUGAAAAGGAGGUACCAGUAGUUAAUGAAGUAGAAGAGCUGACUGUUGUGUCCAGAGGAUCACAUGGUACCUUAGAGGAAGUGCCAUCCUCAUUAUCAAAAAAAUAUUUAUGAGUAGCAAGAGUGGACUCGGGAACAUAGGACUUGGAAAAAUAUUUAAGUACUAGGAAAAAGUAGUAACAUCUGAGACAAGACUAAUAGGGAAAAGAUUACAUCUCUAGAAAUGUGUAUUCUUCUUGUGGCUAGACUAAGGACCUCGUAUACUUUGGUUCCAAAUGGAUAUCCUACAAAGACAUGAGGUUCAGCUCUUGGUUCAAGCUUAUCUCUAUGGAUUUUAGGUAUGGUAGGAUAACAUAAGCAACCAAAAGAUCUCAAAUGAGAAUAUACUGGUGUCUUGUUGUAAAGUAACUCAUAAGGGCAUUUAUUUUUCAUAUAAGUGGUAGGAAGUAUAUUUAUGAUAUGUGUGGCUGUGAGAACACACUCCCCCAAUAUCUAAAAGGCAAUUUUGAUUGAAAAAGGAGGGCUCUGGCAGUUUCCAACCAAUAUUUAUGUUUUCUUUUCACUACAUUGUUUUGUUAUGGUGUAUAGGGGCAAGUCUUUUGGUGUAUUAUACCUUUGGAAAGAAAGAAUUGCAAGGCCUCAUUAUUAACAAAGUCAAGGCCAUUAUCUGUUCUUACAGUUUUAAUAGAGGUAGAAAACUGAUUUUCAACCAUAUUCACGAAAGCUUUCAGGAUGGAUAAAGCAUUAGCUUUACUGCCCAAAAGGUUUGUCCAUGUGACCUACUAUAGUCAUCCACCAAGGUCAAAAAAUACUUAUGAUUAUCAUGUGUUGGUGUAUGGUAUGGACCCCAGAGGUCAAUAUGUAACAACUAAAAGAUGCUAGUGGAAGCACUAGAACUAUGUGAAAAGGGAAGUCUGACUUGUCUAGCCAUGGAGCAUAAAAAAGGCUGGUUAGCGGAAAACUUGGCAGGUAAUGAGGAUAUGCCUUUCAUUUUUGCAAAAGGAACAUGUCCAAGUCUAUUAUGCCAUAAUAAGUCUACAUUACUGUCAACAGAUAAAUGAGCACUUCCAGCUAACAAGUUAGUUUUAUUGAUAAGAGAUGGUAUAUUUACAUUGGAAAGAAAGCGAGGGGAAUGAAAAUUAUGUGUGACAUCAUUAUUUGACAUGGAUUCUCCUGCCACACUAUUGCUGGAAACGUGAGAACAAGCAGGGCAAGAGUGAAUGAAUGCAUCAGUAGCUUGAUAGUUCUUGAUCAGAUCAGGAAUAGACAAAUAAGUAGUCAGUUUCUUGUGAACAUGUGACUCAGUAGCAGCGGUAUGAUCUUCCGACAUGUGGAACAGAGAUAGUAUAAACCACCUUGCUACUACCAAUCACCUGAGUCCUCCUCACUGAAGGGGCCUGCAGGAAGCACAAUGCAUUAGUGAACAGAAGCAUGCAUUGGGAGUGAUUAGUCAAGGAAUGGACAAAAAUCAAUUAUAUUUAAAGGAUGGUGCAUACAACACCUUAUGCAGGGUAAUUUUAGGUGUAAUAACCACAUCACCAAACUCAACUACUUUUACUUUAUAACCAUUUGGAAGAGAUACUAGUAAAAGAUAGGUCAAGGUUCUAAUGUUGGUUAGGCUGGACUUAUUGAAAGUCAUAUGGUUGGAGGCACCCGAAUCUAUGAUUCAUAAAUCAGACCUUGAGUUGAAACAUUUGCAUGAAUAAUGAGCAAAAUCUAUAGAUGAGUUGCAGGCUAAAAUACCUGUAAAGUUAACAGACCCAGCAUUCAUGUGUGCAACAUUUGGAUUUCCCUUUACUGUGUUGCUGAUCUGAAAUUGACUGAGUAGAUUCAUCAUCUGAUUUUACUGGUCCUUAGAGAUAUUAGGGCUUUUCACAACCAUUAUUGAAUCAGGUUCAUCUCCAUGAGUAUGCAUCAAAUUUGAUGUAAAUCCAUGAACAUUGGCUACUAUCCGCUUACUCUUGUAGAGCCCAAAAUUUUGGUGUUGAUACAUAAAAGCAUUACGAGAGAUAGGGAAACUUUGAUAGCUUUGUCUAGGUCCACUAGGUGCAUUAUUCUGUGGAUAACCAUGGAGCUUGUAGUACCUAUCUUUGGUGUGUCCAGGUCUUUUACAAUAAUCACAAGAUGGCUUGCUAUUGUUAGAACUGCCUACAAAAUUCUGACUUAAGUAAUUUUUCUUGUAACUCCCAGUAUUCGAUGGUCCUGAAUAGCUCCUAGAUCCAGCAGAAUUGACAUGUAGUGAGGUAGAUUCCAUUACUAUGCGAUUAUGCUGUUUGAAUUCUCUUUGUUUCUCCUCUUGGAUCAAAAUAAAGAAAGCUUUGGCCAGGGUAGGUAAGGGAUUCAUCAUCAAUAUACUUUCCCGGACACUAGUGUAUUCCCCAUUCAAGCCCAUAAGAAACUGGAUCAAUCUCCUGUCUUGCUCAGCCUUGUAUGUCCCCUCCUUUGCACCAUAAACACAUUGACAACUACAUUGGACUCGAAAGGAUAAAUUGUUGAAUUCUUCCCAGAGUUUCUUCAUACGCGUAUAGUAGGUAGUAAUAUCCAUAGAUUCUUGUACCAAAUCACUAAUUUCCUUUUGAAUUUGGUAUAACUUAGCACCAUUCGUCUGGUCAUAUCGAUCCUCUAGUUCCUUCCACAAUUUGGUGGAAUUUGCGACAUACCCAACACUUUCAGCUAUCUCUUUAGAUAAGGAGUUCAAAAUCCAAGACGUCACCAUAUCAUCUCAUCUCUCCCAUUGACGUAAUUUGGCUGCAUCAUCCGUAGGUCGCUUGCAAUCAUCAGUAAUGAAACCCAGUUUAUUUUUCACUGAUAGAGCUCAAAGAACACUUCGUCUCCAUGAACGAAAACCCAAUCCAUCAAAAGGUGUAGGAACCAACACCAUACCAGGGCUAUCAGAAGGAUGCAUGUACAAAGCAGAAAUCGUAUCAUCACUAAAUUGAUGCACAGUAGUCGGUGCUACGGGAAUUUGUUGGCAUUCGGUUCGUUUUCCAUUGAGAGAAACUACGAAGAGGAAAACCCAGAAAGAUUCUAUAUCUCGUUCAGGCAAUUCAUCAAACAGUUUGUAUAUAGAAGAUAGAGUGACCCUAAGUAGAAAAUUGGAAGGAUUUGUAAGAUCUGUGGGCCGAGAAUAUUGAAGCAGUUUAAGAUGUGAGAAAAUCUCGUGGCUUUGAUACCAUAUUACAAUUGAGAAUUCAAGGAUCUCCAUUAAUGUUGGAUGAGAGAGAGAAGAGCUUGACAGAGAAAGAAAGGAAGAGAAAAUGUAACUGCUUAAUUGAAUUACUCAGACUGUAUGUCAAUUUAUACAAAAUGUCUAGGAAAGAUCUAGAAGCUCAGCUAACAUCACUACUAACAACUUCUAACUGAUCUAAACUUCUUGAGUUAACUGCUUGAGUCAGAUAACCGACUCUUAUUUAUUCUCUCGCAUUGUUUGAUUUUGCCUUUUGUUUGGUAGUAUACUUUUAGACUUUUCGCAAUCUUAAACCAGCCCGAAACAAACUCUGUAAAGUUGUAAGUUCUCCUGAUACGCGUACAGUGAGCUGUUUUGGGUUUAUUUUGAUGUUGGUUUGGCUACCUUAAUGUUGCAAUAAUGAAUUAGAGAUGUUUUUGUUUGGUUUGUGUGUUCACAAGGUCCUGACAGCCUUAACAUUGUCCGAAAACGUUUUGAAUUGCUUAAACUUUAUAUAUGCUUUGGCGGGGUUCGUCAUGGAAUCCUUGUAACUGUUGCUUGAACGCUGAAUAUGAUAUCAUGUUAGUACUGUUUUUGAAUAGUCAUUCACAGAUUUUUAAUAAGGAGGGAGUUUAUUUCAGCUUCCAGAUUAGUUAACUUAGCAUUUGACCUUAGUUACCUAUGAUGAUUUUCCAGUUAAUUUGCUAAGCAUUAGGCAUCUUAUUCUUUAAUUUGAUCCUGUUUCUCGUGCAUUGAUAUGUUUGAUUGGAAACUUACAAUUGUAAUUAUGUAAACUUAGAAUUGUAAUUAUAACAUAUGAUAUCUAUACUUGAGAAUCAAAUUUCCUUUUCUAAUUCUUAUUUUGUUCUUUCUCUUCGCAUAUGCACUCCAGAGCAAACAACUUGGAGUCUCAAGGCUAUAUUCUCGUACCCGUAUGGAGUCUCUAAAUGAGACUUGCCGUUACCCCUCAUUCUAGCAAGGAUUCAUAUUCCAUAUUCUUAAGUCGAACCGGCUAGCAGUCUAGUGCAAAAAAUCAAGCUUUAUUAUUUUUUAUAGACACUUAUUAUUAUUUUGUGUACAUUUCACAUAUUACUAUUUAAAGUUUGUGUUUAUAUGUUUCUUAUUGAAUUGUUGUGAAGCUUUAAUUAAUCUCAACGAAUUUGAUUGUUUCUCUUUUA
Molecule: long non-coding RNA, 13085 nt
Filed under: Capsicum annuum
Lineage: Eukaryota; Viridiplantae; Streptophyta; Magnoliopsida; Solanales; Solanaceae
Description: long non-coding RNA (CANN_LNC015190)
Source: RNAcentral